UGGGGAAUGGUGCAAUGGCAGCACGCCUGACUCUGGAUCAGGUAAUCUUGGUUCGAAUCCAGGUUCCCCAGCCA
This 74-nucleotide transfer RNA is filed under the name Synergistaceae bacterium OttesenSCG-928-I11. RNAcentral's name for it is "tRNA-Gln". It matches the Rfam family "tRNA". Rfam says of the family: Transfer RNA (tRNA) molecules are approximately 80 nucleotides in length. Their secondary structure includes four short double-helical elements and three loops (D, anti-codon, and T loops). Further hydrogen bonds mediate the characteristic L-shaped molecular structure. tRNAs have two regions of fundamental functional importance: the anti-codon, which is responsible for specific mRNA codon recognition, and the 3' end, to which the tRNAs corresponding amino acid is attached (by aminoacyl-tRNA synthetases). tRNAs cope with the degeneracy of the genetic code in two manners: having more than one tRNA (with a specific anti-codon) for a particular amino acid; and 'wobble' base-pairing, i.e. permitting non-standard base-pairing at the 3rd anti-codon position. Lineage: Bacteria; Thermotogati; Synergistota; Synergistia; Synergistales; Synergistaceae. The record is from RNAcentral.